GAUGAACGCUGGCGGCGUGCCUAACACAUGCAAGUCGAGCGGCAGCGAGGGGUGCUUGCACCCUGUCGGCGAGCGGCGGACGGCUGAGUAACGCGUGGGAACGUGCCCCAAAGUGAGGAAUAACUGCCCGAAAGGGUAGCUAAUACCGCAUAUUAUCUUCGGAUCAAAGGAUUUAUCCGCUUUGGGAGCGGCUCGCGUCGGAUUAGGUAGUUGGUGAGGUAAUGGCUCACCAAGCCGACGAUCCGUAGCUGGUCUGAGAGGAUGACCAGCCAGACUGGAACUGAGACACGGUCCAGACUCCUACGGGAGGCAGCAGUGAGGAAUCUUCCACAAUGGGCGAAAGCCUGAUGGAGCAACGCCGCGUGCAGGAUGAAGGCCUUCGGGUUGUAAACUGCUUUUAUAAGUGAGGAAUAUGACGGUAACUUAUGAAUAAGGAUCGGCUAACUACGUG
This 451-nucleotide ribosomal RNA is filed under the name uncultured bacterium. RNAcentral's name for it is "partial 16S ribosomal RNA". It matches the Rfam family "Bacterial small subunit ribosomal RNA", at positions 28 to 507 of the family's 1533-position model. The record is from RNAcentral.